RNAcentral lists this ribosomal RNA (1221 nucleotides) under Astrosphaeriella sp. RNAcentral describes it as "partial large subunit ribosomal RNA". It matches the Rfam family "Eukaryotic large subunit ribosomal RNA", at positions 151 to 1386 of the family's 3401-position model. The record is from RNAcentral. Lineage: Eukaryota; Fungi; Ascomycota; Dothideomycetes; Pleosporales; Astrosphaeriellaceae.
GUAGAGGGUGCUUUGGCGUUGGCCCCCGCUCAAGUUCCUUAGAACAGGACGUCAUAGAGGGUGAGAACCCCGUACAUGGCCGGACGGCCUUCGCCUUGUAAAGCCCCUUCGACGAGUCGAGUUGUUUGGGAAUGCAGCUCUAAAUGGGAGGUAAAUUUCUUCUAAGGCUAAAUACCGGCUGGAGACCGAUAGCGCACAAGUAGAGUGAUCGAAAGAUGAAAAGCACUUUGGAAAGAGAGUGAAAAAGCACGUGAAAUUGUUGAAAGGGAAGCGCUUGCAGCCAGACUCGCCCGCGGUUGCUCACCCGGCGCUCCUGCCCGGUGCACUCUUCCGCGGGCGGGCCAGCAUCGGUUUGGGCGGUCGGACAAAGGUCCCGGGAACGUGGCUCCCCAUGGGGAGUGUUAUAGCCCGGGGCGUCAUGCGGCCAGCCCGGACCGAGGCCCGCGCAUUUCGCUAGGAUGCUGGCGUAAUGGCUGUAAGCGGCCCGUCUUGAAACACGGACCAAGGAGUCUAACAUCUGUGCGAGUGUUUGGGUGUCAAGCCCUGACGCGCAAUAAAAGUGAACGGAGGUGGGACCCCCUCGGGGUGCACCAUCGACCGAUCCUGAUGUCUUCGGAUGGAUUUGAGUAAGAGCAUAGCUGUUGGGACCCGAAAGAUGGUGAACUAUGCCUGAAUAGGGUGAAGCCAGAGGAAACUCUGGUGGAGGCUCGCAGCGGUUCUGACGUGCAAAUCGAUCGUCAAAUUUGGGCAUAGGGGCGAAAGACUAAUCGAACUAUCUAGUAGCUGGUUCCUGCCGAAGUUUCCCUCAGGAUAGCAGUAACGUUUUCAGUUUUAUGAGGUAAAGCGAAUGAUUAGAGGCCUGGGGGUUGAAACAACCUUCACCUAUUCUCAAACUUUAAAUAUGUAAGAAGUCCUUGUUACUUAAUUGAACGUGGACACUUGAAUGUACCGUUCCGUACUAGUGGGCCAUUUUUGGUAAGCAGAACUGGCGAUGCGGGAUGAACCGAACGCGGGGUUAAGGUGCCAGAAUGCACGCUCAUCAGACACCACAAAAGGUGUUAGUUCAUCCAGACAGCAGGACGGUGGCCAUGGAAGUCGGAAUCCGCUAAGGAGUGUGUAACAACUCACCUGCCGAAUGAACUAGCCCUGAAAAUGGAUGGCGCUCAAGCGUGCUACCCAUACCCCGCCGCCGGGGCAAGCUUUAUGCCCCGGCGAGUAGGC